This 201-nucleotide microRNA precursor is filed under the name Oryza brachyantha (malo sina). RNAcentral describes it as "MIR812 microRNA precursor family". It matches the Rfam family "MIR812 microRNA precursor family". Lineage: Eukaryota; Viridiplantae; Streptophyta; Magnoliopsida; Poales; Poaceae. The record is from Rfam by way of RNAcentral.
AAUAAGUCUAUUUUUCAGUUUUUAGAUGAAUGUUUUGAUUCUUCAUCUUAUUUAAAUUUUUUGUGAUUAGUAUUUUCAUUGUUACUAGACGAUAAAACAUGAAUAGUAUUUUAUGCGUGAACAAUUUUUUUUAAGUUUUUUACAAAUUUUUCAAAUAAGACAAAUGGUCAAACGUCAGACACAGAAAACGUUAGACAUAGA